Mobula hypostoma (lesser devil ray) is the source of this 731-nucleotide long non-coding RNA. RefSeq lists it as uncharacterized. NCBI's taxonomy places the organism in Eukaryota, Metazoa, Chordata, Chondrichthyes, Myliobatiformes, Myliobatidae. The transcript has 6 exons. The record is from RefSeq and is a predicted model, not a curated record.
GUCAGAUUCAGGUUUAUUAUCAUUGAUGUAUGUCGUGAAAUUUGUUGUUUUGUUUUGUGGCAGUAGUUGUGAUGGUAUUGCGUUUGCUGACUGAUGGAAAUCCAUAUCAACACACACAAAAUGCUGGAGACACUCAGCAGGUCGGGCAGAGACCCAUCUUCAGGACUGGAGGGGAAUGACAGCACCCACACUUUCCUCUUCUGCCUGCAGCGAGUUGCAGCAGCGCGAUUCCUUUCAAGAAAUUUCCUCCGUCUUUCGUCAGGGUCUUCAUCAACAACUCUUCUUCUUCGGCCCCCACUGCUUGGUGCUGGGUGUCCUGAUUGAGGAGAUUGUAUCUGUUGUGCUCCAGGGGUUCCUGUCCUGCAACCAUGAGGCCAUUCGCAGGACCGAGGAGCAACACCUCCAACCAGAUGGCAUCAACAUCUACUUCUCACACUUACGGCAUUCACAGAAGAAGCAAGAAUUACAUUAGAAUCAAUGAAAACUUCACAUAGAGACUGAGAAACAACCACUAUGCAAAAGACAAACUGCAAGUACAAAAAAGGCAGCAUCCAUCAUUACAGACCCCCAUCACCCAGAACAUGCCCUCUUCUCAUUGCUAUCAUCAAGAAAGAGGUACAGAAGCAUGAAGACACACACUCAACAAUUCAGGAAUGGCUUCUUCCCCUCUGCCAUCUGAUUUCUGAACGGAUAUUGAACCCAUGAACACUACCUCACAACUUACUUUUUAA